RNAcentral lists this ribosomal RNA (375 nucleotides) under uncultured bacterium. RNAcentral's name for it is "bacterial SSU rRNA". It matches the Rfam family "Bacterial small subunit ribosomal RNA", at positions 521 to 896 of the family's 1533-position model. The record is from RNAcentral.
UAAGACGAACCGUGCGAACGUUGUUCGGAUUCACUGGGCUUAAAGGGCGCGUAGGCGGGCAGGCGAGUCAGGGGUGAAAUCCCCCGGCCCAACCGGGGGACUGCCCCUGAGACCGCCUGCCUCGAGGGGGGUAGGGGCACGCGGAACUUCCGGUGGAGCGGUGAAAUGCGUAGAGAUCGGAAGGAACGCCGGUGGCGAAAGCGGCGUGCUGGGCCCCUUCUGACGCUGAGGCGCGAAAGCCAGGGGAGCGAACGGGAUUAGAUACCCCGGUAGUCCUGGCCCUAAACGAUGGGCACCAGGCCGUGGUCCUGCAUGGGGUCACAGCCGAGGCAAAAGUGUUAAGUGCCCCGCCUGGGGAGUAUGGUCGCAAGGCUG